Molecule: long non-coding RNA, 1750 nt
Filed under: Coffea arabica (coffee)
Lineage: Eukaryota; Viridiplantae; Streptophyta; Magnoliopsida; Gentianales; Rubiaceae
Description: long non-coding RNA (CARA_LNC002063)
Source: RNAcentral
UUUAAUUUUACGCUCCAACUAGUUAACCCUAAGCACAGUGAAUUAUACCACCAUAUAAUCCAACCUUUCAAGCUGCAUUCUUCCACACAAGUUUGAAGAAUAAAAGUGGCUAGGUACUAACUAACUCCAUCUCCUUAAUUACUUUAAACACCAAAAUUUCGCCAAAUCUUACUAUUUUUCUGGGAUUGUUAGUAUUACUAAAACCUUUUUUGUGUCUUUCUUCCUCAGGUUGAUCAAUCAUGAAGAUCUCAAUCAGUCUCUUUGUUGCCUCAGUAUUCAUCUUGGGAUCUUUUCAAGCCAAUGCAAAAAGGGUUUUUCCCCUGCUAUUGAAUGAUGCAAAUCUUCUUGGCAGAAAGGUCAAGAGUAUUGGUCCUAAUGACAAGGUUGCGACUCAAACCAAAAUAGCUGCUACAAACGGUGCUGCUACAGCUGCUUAUAGUGAAUUAAAUGAAAAUGACGAUGGAGAAGAUUCAGGCACAUCCUCCCACCGCUAUUUCCCAGAUGAUAAACACCAACCCUCCACCGCGAACAAUAACGUUAACACACCUCAUCGCAACCUCUAAGACGCUAUAGAUAUACAUGUUGUCGUCAACAGCCGUGCAGACCAAAAUAUAUAUAUGUAUAUAUAAUGGUGCUCGGCCUUAUAAUUAUAAACGUGAGAUAUAAUGCAUGCAUGUUUGGCAGUUAUACCAUGCGUCGUAGCUCAGUAAGUUGUGGCCUGUACAUGGACAGGAUCUUUUGAUCAUGUUAAGAUCGAGUUUUAGAUUUGUGUUUCAUCUGUGAUUGAUUGUCUUGUGUUUCCAUGAUCUUGGCUUUUAUGCAUGCUACAUGCGUGUCAUGUACAUGUCAUCUACCCACGGUGAUUUGAGUAGUAUUGUGGCAUGUUUAUAUAGACUGCUUAUAUAUUAUAUGUUGUAUUUCCUAAUUAUACAUUCUCUCGAGUUAUGUGGAGAUCAUCAGUUUAAUUUUCUGUUAAUAGUCGCAUCACUCCUUGUAUUUUUCAGUUGCAGAUAUACACGUCUUUACAAACCUUGUGAAUACAAGAAUUAUGUAUCUUAAUAACAUGCUAGGUUUUAAGUAAGUUCAGCAAUUCCAACAUAUUUUAACCACCGGUACUUUUUUUUUUUUUUUUACGGUCUGGAUGGAUAUCCCGAAAUCACCGGACUAAUCUCCCAAACUGGGCAGAGCUCGCCCCAAAGAUGCCCAACAGCAGUAGCAAGUGGGUGUCGAACCUAGAACCUUGUUAUAAAGACAAACGACCACCGGAACAGUCGAGCUAUCCACUGGGGCUAACCUCGGCCGAGCUAUCCACUGGGGCUAACCACUAGUACUUGCUACUGAGUAUACAUAACUGUUCUUUGGCGUGGCUUCAAGAAACGUUAACCUGUCAUUGAAUCUGCUAAACACAGGUAGAGUGCAAGAAGCUGCCACAUACAUAGUGCUUAAUUAAGAAGGCAUGCAUGCAUUUUAACCCCUUAUUGUGCCCAAACACGGCAUUGAAAUGUUGUACCAAUCUCUGAGCAAAUAAUUAAGAACAAUUUUAGGCAUUUACUUUAGAUGGAUUUCCUUCUACUAUGCAUUCAUCUUGCCAUGUAAAAACAAGUUAAUCUUUUCACACAUGGCACCAGCGGGAGAUAUGCCCCAUCAGUUUCCAAACAGCAAGAUCCUCGCAGGCAGACAAUAUUCUGAAGUACAACAUUAUUAUAUUUUCUCCCAGCAGUUUUAAUUUCAUUUUAGCUGUAUAAAUGCA